AACAAAAUCGGGGUAACAAACUAAAACCGAGGGAAACGUAUUAAAUAUAAGAGGAGAACAACGGCACAACACUAAAAUGUAACACACACAGAAACGGACCAAGCAUCAGACAAAAUCCCACAAAUAUAACAUCAAAACCAAAUACAUGAAUUUGGGAUAGACAAGUACCGUGACACGUCUUAUCGCAAUGUGAAAUUACACUCAAAAAUAAGAGAAAACAAAC
This 223-nucleotide long non-coding RNA is filed under the name Mytilus galloprovincialis (Mediterranean mussel). Lineage: Eukaryota; Metazoa; Mollusca; Bivalvia; Mytilida; Mytilidae. The record is from RNAcentral.